This 378-nucleotide ribosomal RNA is filed under the name uncultured eukaryote. Its description in RNAcentral is "partial 18S ribosomal RNA". It matches the Rfam family "Eukaryotic small subunit ribosomal RNA", at positions 592 to 975 of the family's 1831-position model. The record is from RNAcentral.
CAAUAGCGUAUAUUUAAGUUGUUGCAGUUAAAAAGCUCGUAGUUGGAUUUCGGAUGGGACUUGCCGGUCCGUCGUUUCGAUGUGCACUGGCAAGUCCUAUCUUGUUGUCGGGGACUAGCUCCUGGGCUUCACUGUCCGGGACUAGGAGCUGACGAGGUUACUUUGAGUAAAUUAGAGUGUUCAAAGCAAGCCUACGCUCUGAAUACAUUAGCAUGGAAUAACACGAUAGGACUCUGGCUUAUCUUGUUGGUCUGUGAGACCAGAGUAAUGAUUAAGAGGGACAGUCGGGGGCAUUCGUAUUUCAUUGUCAGAGGUGAAAUUCUUGGAUUUAUGAAAGACGAACUUCUGCGAAAGCAUUUGUCAAGGAUGUUUUCAUUA